RNAcentral lists this long non-coding RNA (594 nucleotides) under Equus asinus (donkey). Its description in RNAcentral is "lncRNA (ENSEASG00005035647.1)". The record is from RNAcentral. Lineage: Eukaryota; Metazoa; Chordata; Mammalia; Perissodactyla; Equidae.
GGACAUUCUGGACUCGUGUGCCUGAUUAUUGGCUGUUUUUUGGGCAUGUGAAUCGCGCCUCCGUGGCAAUAUAUACGUUACACUCAUUACGCCCAUAACUCUCCUUUCUGCAUGAUUUUACUGCUCACCUACUAUGGACAAGUCGCUGGGAUAGAAAGUCAAAGAUGAAUCAGAGUUUGCUUAAAAUGUAGUAGGGGUGGGGCCGCCGGUGGCGCAGCGGUUAAGUUCGCACGUUCUGCUUUAGCCGCUAGGCGAUCGUCAGUUCGGAUCCUGGGUGCGGAUAUGACACCGCUUGGCACGCCGUGCUGUGUCUUCUCAUCUGCAAGGUGGUCAUGAUGGCUGCUGGGCUGUUCGCCAUCUUGGAUCUGAGGGGACUUUGAAGAUGGAAGCCAUUUGCUGAAGAGGGUGGACCCGAAAGACACAAGGAACCUGAAUCCUUGAUGACAUCUUGGAGCCACUCCACCAGCCCAGACUACCUCCCUCUGGACUUAUUUUAUCUGCUGACCCCAAGCACCUCCCGCAGACUAGUCUCUGGUUCGCCUGCUGCAAGGCUGCAAAAUCUUUCCUGGUCUAAGACUGUGUGAGCUGUUUUUA